Molecule: ribosomal RNA, 705 nt
Filed under: uncultured bacterium
Lineage: Bacteria
Description: bacterial SSU rRNA
Rfam family: Bacterial small subunit ribosomal RNA
Source: RNAcentral
UUUAGUGACUGAGUGGCGGACGGGUGAGUAACGCGUGGGUAACCUGCCUCACACAGGGGGAUAACAGUUGGAAACGGCUGCUAAUACCGCAUAAGCGCACAGUACCGCAUGGUACAGUGUGAAAAACUCCGGUGGUGUGAGAUGGACCCGCGUCUGAUUAGCUAGUUGGCAGGGCAACGGCCUACCAAGGCGACGAUCAGUAGCCGACCUGAGAGGGUGACCGGCCACAUUGGGACUGAGACACGGCCCAAACUCCUACGGGAGGCAGCAGUGGGGAAUAUUGCACAAUGGGGGAAACCCUGAUGCAGCGACGCCGCGUGAGCGAAGAAGUAUUUCGGUAUGUAAAGCUCUAUCAGCAGGGAAGAAGAAAUGACGGUACCUGACUAAGAAGCACCGGCUAAAUACGUGCCAGCAGCCGCGGUAAUACGUAUGGUGCAAGCGUUAUCCGGAUUUACUGGGUGUAAAGGGAGCGCAGCGGAAGGCUAAUCUGAUGUGGAAGCCCGGGGCUCAACCCCGGUACUGCAUUGGAAACUGGUCAUCUAGAGUGUCGGAGGGGUAAGUGGAAUUCCUAGUGUAGCGGUGAAAUGCGUAGAUAUUAGGAGGAACACCAGUGGCGAAGGCGGCUUACUGGACGAUAACUGACGCUGAGGCUCGAAAGCGUGGGGAGCAAACAGGAUUAGAUACCCUGGUAGUCCACGCCGUAAA